This 76-nucleotide transfer RNA is filed under the name Nitrospina sp. Its description in RNAcentral is "tRNA-Met". It matches the Rfam family "tRNA". Rfam says of the family: Transfer RNA (tRNA) molecules are approximately 80 nucleotides in length. Their secondary structure includes four short double-helical elements and three loops (D, anti-codon, and T loops). RNAcentral also lists the same sequence under 1 other name. Lineage: Bacteria; Pseudomonadati; Nitrospinota; Nitrospinia; Nitrospinales; Nitrospinaceae. The record is from RNAcentral.
GGGCCUAUAGCUCAGUUGGUAGAGCCCCCGGCUCAUAACCGGGUGGUCAGAGGUUCGAAUCCUCUUGGGCCCAUCA